AAUGAACGCUGGCGGCGCGCCUAAUACAUGCAAGUCGAGCGAGAAGACGUAGCAAUACGUUUGUAAAGCGGCGAACGGGUGAGGAAUACAUGGGUAACCUACCCUCGAGUGGGGAAUAACUAGCCGAAAGGUUAGCUAAUACCGCGUACGCUUCUUGGACUUCGGUUCAGGGAGGAAAGCGAUGCCGAGGGUAUCGCGCUCUUGGAUGGGCUCAUGUCCUAUCAGCUUGUUGGGAGGUAACGGCUCACCAAGGCUUCGACGGGUAGCUGGUCUGAGAGGACGAUCAGCCACACUGGCACUGCGACACGGGCCAGACUCCUACGGGAGGCAGCAGUAAGGAAUAUUGCGCAAUGGGCGAAAGCCUGACGCAGCGACGCCGCGUGGGGGAUGAA
RNAcentral lists this ribosomal RNA (392 nucleotides) under uncultured bacterium. RNAcentral's name for it is "bacterial SSU rRNA". It matches the Rfam family "Bacterial small subunit ribosomal RNA", at positions 29 to 412 of the family's 1533-position model. The record is from RNAcentral.